ACCAAGUUUAUCUGCAGGGGAGUGGAGAACGGAAAAUCCCCCAACAGGAAAACACAAAAACCAGGGGCUACUGCUCACACUUAAAAACCCAGAGGGACUCAGAGAAAAGGGAUGCUUAGGCAGGAGAGGAACAGAAGAACAUGCUUUCAUAGCAGAGGGGGUCUUCUUCGACUAUGGGACCAGCCAAGCCAAAAGAAGCUGGUUGGAAGAGUGGGAGAACUCCAUGUUCCAGAGGAGGAGCCAUAAUGAGAGAGGUGCAGGAGAGAGGGACUUGGGAUCCUGAAAGGACAUUGCUCCAAAUCCUGAAGAACACUCCAGAAUGCAUAAGGGCAUUGCAUGGAAGAAGCCCUGGAGAUGAAUGGGAGAAGGAUACCCAAAGGGAUCACAGAAGGACCACGCAGCCAGCAGGAGCAAGACGAUGAGAACAGGCAGUAGCAGCAGUAAGGAAUGAAAGCCGACACAGAAGAAGAAAUUCACCCUGAGUUGAAGGACAAAACAAGGUCCAUGCCCAACUUAAGCAGAAUUAUAACGGGUCAAGAUCUGGCCCACAACUUCUUAUUUAUACUCUGACAAAAUAAAUGGAUCCAUCAAACUGCCAUGCUCUUACUGGAAAGAGAAUUUAACGUGGACAAGUUCGCCCUCCUCUUCAUUCCACUGAUGCCGAUAUGGUCCCUUUCUGGAAGAUUAAAUGUGUUGUUAUCUUGCCUUGUUUCUAUAUCAGCAGCAUCAUUUACCAACAUUCCUUACAUUU
Chelonia mydas (Green sea turtle) is the source of this 751-nucleotide long non-coding RNA. RefSeq lists it as uncharacterized. NCBI's taxonomy places the organism in Eukaryota, Metazoa, Chordata, Testudines, Cheloniidae. The transcript is spliced from 3 exons. The record is from RefSeq and is a predicted model, not a curated record.